GGGUCUGCUCCCACAAGGAAAUUUUGAGCGUCAAAGUUUUCAUUUCCUGCAUUUUUAUACACUUUAAUUCACCAAUUUACGGUGGAUAUGCCUUUAUGUAGCCUAUGUGAAGAAUAAAACAGAUGACAAUUCAAAAUAUAUAAAAAA
Molecule: long non-coding RNA, 147 nt
Organism: Etheostoma cragini (Arkansas darter)
Lineage: Eukaryota; Metazoa; Chordata; Actinopteri; Perciformes; Percidae
Exons: 3
Source: RefSeq, a predicted model, not a curated record